GAUAGGGAGUCGAUCCCUGCUGCAGAAUACCGACACACCGGGAGGAGAAGCCGGGGCAGAGGAGACCAGUUCACGGCAGGUUUUUAAACACAAGAAGAAGAAGAAGUGUCGGGGGGAAAGAGUCGCGUGCUUUGCAAGAAAAAGAAGAGACAAACUCCUCCAGAAAGGAACUUUUUAAAACUCUGGAGACAGUCUGUCAGAGGGGGGACCUGCUUUGAAGAAGAGAGGGGCUCUCGCACGAAGGGACGGCAGAUUUCACCAGCAGAGAUUUGAGUUCAUCAGCCGAGAAAGAGAGGCGGUGAGCGGGUCACAGCCGGUGGAAUCCCCUCUGGGUCCUCGCAUCGCUUGUCGGGGCGUGUCUUUUUUUUUUUUUUUUUUUUUUUUGGUACAAAUCCCCCCAAAAAAGUUUAUCGAGUAUCUAUAGUCACUUUUAUUGUAGAAGUAUAAGCCAUGGUGGGGGAGACAGAGGUGAAGGAGCGACCCAAGUCCAACCCGGACUACUUAAUGCAGCUGAUGAACGACAGGAAGGUGAUGAGCUCCCUGCCCAACUUCAGCGGCAUCUUUACGCAUCUGGAGCGGCUCCUAGAUGAAGAGAUCGGCCGGGUACGCAAAGACAUGUACAAUGACACGGUCAACGGUGGCAUGUUCAACGGCCGAGACAUGGAGGAGCUUCCCGAAGCCAUCGGCCCCGUGGCUCAACUGCAGGAGAAGCUCUACGUGCCCGUCAAAGAGUACCCUGAUUUCAACUUUGUAGGGAGGAUUCUGGGUCCACGUGGGCUGACAGCCAAACAACUGGAGGCAGAGACCGGCUGCAAGAUUAUGGUGCGAGGAAAAGGCUCCAUGAGAGACAAGAAGAAGGAGGAGAUGAACCGAGGGAAGCCCAACUGGGAGCACCUCAGCGAGGACCUCCACGUCCUGAUCACAGUGGAGGACACACACAACCGGGCCAAGAUCAAGCUCCAGCGGGCCAUCAACGAGGUCAAGAAACUUCUCGUGCCCGCUGCCGAGGGGGAGGACAACCUGAAGAAAAUGCAGUUGAUGGAGCUGGCCAUUCUCAACGGGACCUACAGAGACGCCAAUGUCAAGACCCCCACCGGCUUCCCUCUAGCGUCCCCUCAGGCGCCUCGGAUCAUCACAGGCCCCACGCCCGUCCUGCCUCCCGCCUUGCGCAACCAAGCCCCUGUCACCACGCCGACCAUCAUGCCUCUGCUUCGUCAGAUCCAGAGCUCGGCCCUCGUGCCUGGAGGAAACCCGCACCCGGCGCUCGUUCAGCAAGGGCCCGAGUCUGGAAUCAUCUACACGCCCUACGACUACCCAUACACACUCACGCCCUCCAUAUUGGAAUACCCGAUUGACUCAACUGGAGUUUUAGGUAUGGCUUUCCCAACCAAAGGCUAAGCGAAUAGCAACCCCUCCUAGCACACACACGGACUGGCUUGCAGAGAUCCCCCCUCCCUCUCCCCUCCCCUCCCUACUCUCUCUCUCUUUUACCCCCCUUACAUACUUGUCCCACAGAGCAAACACUCAAAGUUUGCUCAUACUUUAGGAUGACAGAUUCCUCGACAGUCAUUCUGUAGUCAAGUGUCCAUUCCUGUUAAUUUCCUCUUUGUAUUAGCAGACUAGCGUUGUGGUGUGACAGCUAUUUAACUUUUUAUAAUAGAUCAGCUUCUGCUUGUAACUUUAACACUUUUUUAGUGAACCCAUAGAUAUUUUAGUGCCGCUGUUUGUGAUUUAAUACAUGUUAAAGCUUAUUUUAAUCACAGAGCUAUAGAGUGACUUUGCUUACAGCUGAUGUUGAAUCUACUAGUGAAGCUUAGUGUUAAAUUUAGUGGUUUGGAUUAAUAUUUUCUUUAGAGAACAGAAGACCACAAAACAACAAGAAAUUCUGUCUCAUAGAAGUUUUACUUAUUUUCACCCUCAGUUUAAACCUUUUUUUAAUUCCUGGUUUCACUGAUGUUGGUGCCAUGGGUGGACUGUUUGAUGUCUUUCUGAUGAGUAACCUUCUGUGUUCUGUUUUGGCGGAUGUCAAUGGCUGUAAGCAGGUGCCAUGACCUCUAAGGUACGACGCCACGACAAGAGAAUCCAUCCUUACCAAAGGGUAGUGACCCCAGACAGAGCUGCCACGGCAACUAACCCAUGACCCCUUGACCUUCUGACCUUUCCGCCCACUGAUGACCCACCCAUCUCUGCCCCGCUGGCGUGCUCAUUGGCCCACGGCCCCGCCACUUCCCCGCAGCUCAGCCAACCAGACCAGCACAUUGGGAACAACCCCGGCUGCUUCUGUCUAACCAGCCAACCAGACGACAGCGACCCCGGGAAUAAACCUCAGGACCCCGCCCACCACUGAGUCCUAACCUAAACUUUACCAAACGUGCCUUCACUUUAAGACUUCAAAGCCAGUCUGAGAAUGUUUUUAAAGCACUACAUCAUCUGUAGCUGCCAUUUAUUACCAGUUCGUGUCACUGGGGAUGGCCUCCAAACCAGUGAAGGGCUCCUAAACCAACCCUGACUGUGCCAAACUGUCUCCAAGCUGCCCUGCCCUCAGCCCAUGUGAUGCAAUAAUAAUGACUCUAUUAAUGCUAUAAAGAUAAUGAUGAUAACUGUUACUUAUCCAGCACAAAAAGCCCUCCAUACACACUAAACGUCAUGAGAUAUAAUGACUUUUAAAAGCUUUUUUCCCCAUUGGGCACCUCUUACUUUUCCAGACACUUAAAAUGAAGGGAUUGCGUUUAUUUAUUUCGUUAUAACACAUUAAAAUUGGUGAUAAAUAUUAAUAUAUUAACAAGCUUCUCCCCAAAAAUGUAACACCAACAUGUGAUUGUUUAAAAUGUCCCUUUUUUUAAAAGAUCCAGCAGAGAAAUUUCCACUUUUUCUUCCACACAUUUGAAUCAAAAGAAAGCUGAUGUUCUGAAGAGUUAAAUGCCAGCGCAGGAUCUUUUUAAUCACCACGAAGCAACAGGUGCUCAGUGAGGAAAAACUGGAAUCUGAAAUGCCCAAAGUGUCUUUGUGGAGUUUCAAUAUUAGGAAAAGCAUCCCAACACUUAAAGAGUAUAAAAUCAACAAGUGCACACACAAGGAAGGUUACAUUUCUUUUGUCUAAACCCAGCAGACUCACACAAUGGUGCCUUUUGCCUUUUUCACACUACAGUAUUGUACGAGUGCGAACAGCAGUGCCUUUCUUUUUUUAGAACAAGUUGAGCAAUGCUGCAACCUAAAUCUCCUACUACAGCAUGAAUUAUGUCAUUUACAUUCAGAUUCAUGCAGGCUGCAGGAAAUGCGUUCGCAGCUUGAUCAUCCUCAUCCAUAUCUCUUCUUGAUUCCGAGUUUGGUGCAAAAAAAAAAGAGUUGAAGGUGCAAAAGCAGUAUUAAAAAACGCAGCUAGAAGUCUGAGAUGUUUAUGUGAGGUUUUAACACCUCGAGAGAAAAGUGUUUUACUUUAUCUUUUUGUUUGUUUUUGUUUGUUUGGAAAUGAAGUCGUCCAUAUAUCUAUUUUUGCAUGUGUACUCACUUUUUUCAGAGGGUACAGUUUUACACACAGACACACAGAAACCAACCGAUGCCUUGUCUUUACAAAAAAGCAGAAGAAGAAGAAUCAUGGAGCGUAACAUCUGUAACAAGUUUAUAAUGUAUUUUUAUAUUCUAUUUUGUACCUGAAAAUAACAUUAAAUGACCUUUUCAGAUAAGAA
Molecule: RNA transcript, 3686 nt
Organism: Notolabrus celidotus (New Zealand spotty)
Lineage: Eukaryota; Metazoa; Chordata; Actinopteri; Labriformes; Labridae
Gene: qki2
Gene name: QKI, KH domain containing, RNA binding 2
Exons: 8
Source: RefSeq, a predicted model, not a curated record